UACAGUUGGGGUAAAUAAACUUUUUUGGUUAAUUAUUGUUAUGUUUUAUUAUAGGAUUUUUUUUUGUACAUUUAAGGUGAAAUUUCAAUUUACUUUGAUUAGUCUUGGUUAAUUAUUAAUAUAAGAAAGUGCAUUUUGAGACUA
RNAcentral lists this ribosomal RNA (144 nucleotides) under Appasus major. RNAcentral's name for it is "partial 12S ribosomal RNA". The record is from RNAcentral. Lineage: Eukaryota; Metazoa; Arthropoda; Insecta; Hemiptera; Belostomatidae.